RNAcentral lists this ribosomal RNA (429 nucleotides) under Acidobacteriota bacterium. RNAcentral describes it as "Acidobacteria bacterium partial 16S ribosomal RNA". It matches the Rfam family "Bacterial small subunit ribosomal RNA", at positions 355 to 776 of the family's 1533-position model. The record is from RNAcentral. Lineage: Bacteria; Pseudomonadati; Acidobacteriota.
UGGGGAAUUUUGGACAAUGGGGGAAACCCUGAUCCAGCCAUCCCGCGUGUGCGAUGAAGGCCUUCGGGUUGUAAAGCACUUUUGGCAGGAAAGAAACGUCAUGGGUUAAUACCCCGUGAAACUGACGGUACCUGCAGAAUAAGCACCGGCUAACUACGUGCCAGCAGCCGCGGUAAUACGUAGGGUGCAAGCGUUAAUCGGAAUUACUGGGCGUAAAGCGUGCGCAGGCGGUUCGGAAAGAAAGAUGUGAAAUCCCAGGGCUCAACUUUGGAACUGCAUUUUUAACUACCGGGCUAGAGUGUGUCAGAGGGAGGUGGAAUUCCGCGUGUAGCAGUGAAAUGCGUAGAUAUGCGGAGGAACACCGAUGGCGAAGGCAGCCUCCUGGGAUAACACUGACGCUCAGGCACGAAAGCGUGGGGAGCAAACAGG